This is a long non-coding RNA of Homo sapiens (human), 761 nucleotides long. Lineage: Eukaryota; Metazoa; Chordata; Mammalia; Primates; Hominidae. The record is from Ensembl.
AGACAGGAAAAACACCCAAAAGGUAAAGGCCAGGCUGGUUCAUGCCGGACACCUAACCCCCUGCUACCACAUGCUGUUUUCCACACUGGGUGCUGGCCUGUGGGAACCUGCACAAGUCGGGGGCAACAUGGUCCCAGGAAGUCUUUGACAGGCUGCCCCCUGCUGGCUGCUGCGGGAACCACAUGGCAGAUGGCUCCUGGUGUCCCCUGGAAGGCUCAGAUGAUCCUCCCACCUCAGCCUCCUGAGUAGCCGCGACUACAGGCGCAUGCCACCACACCCAGGGUCCCAUCCAGAUACCACAUGACACCCGGUUGUCCUGUCUUCGGAGGCUCCUCCUGGCUGGGACAGCUUCUCAGACUUUCCUUGCUGCGAUGGCUGCUCAAGCUUUGAGGAGUACAGUCAGUGUUCUAUAGAACGUCUCUCUCGCUACUGAAAUUCGUCUAAUGUUUUUCUCAUGAUUAGACUGGGGUUGGGCAUGUUUAGAAAGAAGACCACAGAAGUAAAGUGCCUCCCUCAUCACACCGUGUCAAGGGUACACACCACCACGUGACUUCUCCCUGUCGCUGCUGACCUGGCCACCUGGCUGAGGCAGGAUUGCUCAGCUUCCUCCAUUCUCAGCUUUACACUUGUGAUCUCCUUUCCACGCUGCACUCGCUGGAAGGGAGUCACUGUAUGCAGCCAACACUGAAGGAAUGAAGUUAUUCCACACAGGAUUUAGAAUGCUCCACAGACGAUUUUUCUGCUCUUCCUAUUUAUUUUAC